This 441-nucleotide ribosomal RNA is filed under the name uncultured bacterium. RNAcentral describes it as "partial 16S ribosomal RNA". It matches the Rfam family "Bacterial small subunit ribosomal RNA", at positions 338 to 795 of the family's 1533-position model. The record is from RNAcentral.
CCUACGGGGGGCAGCAGUGGGGGAUAUUGCACAAUGGGGGAAACCCUGAUGCAGCGACGCCGCGUGAGUGAAGAAGUAUUUCGGUAUGUAAAGCUCUAUCAGCAGGGAAGAAAAAAGACGGUACCUGACUAAGACGCCCCGGCUAACUACGUGCCAGCAGCCGCGGUAAAACGUAGGGGGCAAGCGUGAUCCGGAUUUACUGGGUGGAAAGGGAGCGUAGACGGGAAUACUAGUCGGAAGUGAAAUCCCCGGGGUCAACCUGGGAAUUGCUUUGGAAACUGUAUGGCUGGAGUGCUGGAGAGGCAAGCGGAAUUCCUAGUGUAGCGGUGAAAUGCGUAGAUAUUAGGAGGAACACCAGUGGCGAAGGCGGCUUACUGGACAGUAACUGACGUUGAGGCUCGAAAGCGUGGGGAGCAAACAGGAUUAGAUACCCUUGUAGUC